This 525-nucleotide ribosomal RNA is filed under the name uncultured bacterium. RNAcentral describes it as "partial 16S ribosomal RNA". It matches the Rfam family "Bacterial small subunit ribosomal RNA", at positions 28 to 523 of the family's 1533-position model. The record is from RNAcentral.
GACGAACGCUGGCGGCGUGCCUAAUACAUGCAAGUCGAGCGCAGGCAGCCGUUCCGAACCCUUCGGGGGGACGACGGUGGAAUGAGAGGCGGAAGGGUGAGUAACACGUAAAGAACCUGCCCAUAGGUCUGGGAUAACCACGAGAAAUCGGGGCUAAUACCGGAUGUGUCAUCGGCACGCAUGGUCCGAUGAUGAAAGGCGCUCCGGCGUCGCCCAGGGAUGGCUUUGCGGUGCAUUAGCUAGUUGGUGGGGUAACGGCCCACCAAGGCGACGAUGCAUAGCCGACCUGAGAGGGUGAUCGGCCACACUGGGACUGAGACACGGCCCAGACUCCUACGGGUGGCAGCAGUAGGGAAUCUCCCACAAUGGACGAAAGUCUGAUGGAGCAACGCCGCGUGAACGAUGAAGGCUUUCGGGUCGUAAAGUUCUGUUGUAAGGGAAGAACAAGUGCCGCAGGCAAUGGCGGCACCUUGACGGUACCUUGCGAGAAAGCCACGGCUAACUACGUGCCAGCCGCCGCCGUAA